CUUUCAGGAUUGUUCAGUUUCAUGCUAAGAAAAAAAAUAGGUCUGAGGGGAACCACUUCUUUGGCGUGUUGUUCCAGUAGUUCAUGAUGAUGGUGGGUAUCAGUUUUUGUUAUCACUGAUCUUCCCAAACUGAAGCUUAGAGAGAUCAAAAUGUUACAUGCUGUAGGGCCAGGAGUGAACUAAACUCGUCCGACAGUGUUCUACGGUUCGCCGCAACUUCGUAGGCCGGUUUUCCACUUGAUGUAUGUAGACAAGGAGGAUUGAAAUCAUGGUAUUUGGUUCUCUGCAAUCUACAGUAAUAUGUCUUUGGCCUUAUUUUCCUACUGCUGGUUGUGAUUGUGGUACAUAACACUCUGAUGUUGAAAGGGUGGAUCAGGUCAUGGAGUAGCUAUGCCCCCAUCGAGUAGCUUAUGCAUCCUAUAUUUAGCUUUUCAAGAUUAUUAGAUGUUUUAUGUCAAGAUGAAUACAUGGAUAGUCCACUAUUUGCAGUAUUGUUAUAAUUGCUCCCUGUUUCCGAUAAAAUGAUUUCUUUUGUUCAUUAGUGUUACAAUAUUAUAAUGCAAUGGUUGUUAUAAUAUGGGGAACUGGUUAAUUAUAAGAGACUGUCACAUAUGAGGAUGAAAGCGUGGAUCAGCUCCUGUAGUAGUUAUCUUUGAUUUACGACCGAGUUUACUUAUGGUUAUAGGAUGGAACUUUGUAUUAUUUUGCCAUCUUCUUUCCUUUUUGAAAAUAGCUACAGCAACUGGCAGUUUAAGUUGGUGCGAGCAAGUAAAUAACGCAAUUUUCUUAAUAACUUUUGCCGCGCAUAUUGUAACUGUAAGCCGCAAUUCAGGUUCAAGGUAACUCUCUAUGUAAUUCCAGAGCAGAGGUUUAUAAGGCAACUCUCUAUGAAACAGAUGUUUUGUGAACGAGCAGAUUUGAUGUUCGAUUUGCAUAAACAUGGGAAAUUCGUAGUUAUUUACUAUUCCAAUUUGAAGCUAAUAUGGUAUUUGAUUCAUGCACAGGGCUGAAGGUUUUACUCGAAGUCGUGUUAUAUUAGAGUUAGCGCCUAAAAAAAUGUCAGUGUAUCUCCUGGAGGAGGAGGUGGGAGAGAUGUAGCAGGUAGAAGAUGGACCGUGGAUAAGAAAGAGGAAGGGAUAAAGUGUCAAUCAGCAAUGAAAACUUUAGUAUUUGUGAUGUAAAUUUGAAUGCUAAAGUUUGAAUUUUUUCCUUGGUCUUAAUUUCUUUCUUUCAAAUGCAAGUGGAUUAAUCUGCAUAAAAUUUAAUACUAUGUUGUAUUCAGCUUUAUUUAGAUUUACCUUCCACUCAUAGGUUGGAGUCUAGAGUUUAUGCAUACCGUUGCAUGAGUAUUGUUGCAUCAUGGUCAAUUCUCUUGGACAGAUAGCUGAGGCCAUUGCAUAAUUUCAGAGGUACUUAUAAAUAUAAAAUGGCUUUCUUUAGCAAAAAUUCCAAAGUUAUGAUGUUUAUUUUGAUAACCUCGACAAUGUCAAGUACAUAGAAUUGGAAUGGAGCCGAGCAACCCUGGUUCAUUGUAACUGAUGUUUGCUUCACAUCGAAUCAUUGAAGGAGUAUGAUGCUGCUUUGGAAGGAGGCUUUUCUCAAUCUGUGCUACUUUCAGGGCGAGGCUGGGCCACGUCCACACUAUUGUCGCUCGCCUGCCUGGGCCUGGGACGUGUUAUUGAAGCCUUCACCAUGCUACAGAGGACAGUCCUGAAGCUCAGGUUUUUAUGCUCUAACUAUGUAUUGAAAGUGUCAAGGCAAGGUCAACCUAAUGAUAUGUUCGUGGAGUCAUAAUUUUUUCGUUUCUUUCUAUUAGUGUUAGAAGACAAGUUGGCUUCGUAUAUUGGUGAAAUCUCAACCCAUGUUCUUCAGUUGGCUUCAUAUAUUGGUGAAAUAUCAACCCAUGUUCUUCAGUUUGCAUUAAGUGCAGACAACCUACUGUUGUUUAUUUACCUUGCCUUGAGUACAGAUUCUACUUUGGCUGCAGGAUGUUGACGCUUCGCUUGCUUCUGAUAAGAAUGCUUGGAAAGCUGUGAUGAAAAAUGGAAAACUUCUGUAGUUUUACAAGACAAGUAAGCGCCUAUGACUUGCAGUCAUCUCCUUUCCUAUCCAGCACAACGCAAGUGCGCAUGACAGCUAGCACAGCAAACACCCACCAAGCAAGCACACGUACGCAGCAGUAGCAUGUAGCAAGCUAUCACACACGCGCCCGACACAACAGCCGACUCGGCAAAAGCACCCUGCUGGACUGGACGACCACGGCGUGUGUGGGCUGAGGCCUCGCCGAAGGAGCGGCGCUUGCGGUGUCUGCAUGUUCGGCCUUGCUGCACUCCAGAAUAGUCACAUCACGGCGCGCUGCAGUAGGGCACGAUUCUGUAAGAGGUAAAUAGGGGUUUGGGGCGCUAUUGUCCAAGAUUGUGCUAUCAAGGAUUGUGGAUCUUAACUAAUUAGACUAUUCAUUUGUAAUCUUAAUCUAUAAAAAGAAAGUAAGGUUGUAUUGUAUUUAGCACUCUUGUGAUAAGAAUGCUUUUUUGUUGUUGUUCUUAUUAAAACAUUGGCGUGCAGCAGCCAUAGAUAAUGUGAUUACUAUAUGCUUUAGUUCAAAACUUUAUGCUGUUGUCCAUUGUCGUCACUUACAGAGGUAUGAUGCAUAUAAUUUAUUUGCAUGUUUCAUAAAAACUGUUGUUGUUGAUAUAUCUAUAUGCAUGUCAAUACCAACAAGCUAUAGCUACCCUUGUGAGGAGGAGUAACCAAAGUUUUUUUUUUGCAGGGAGGAGUAACCAAAGUUGUCAAAACCCGGGACCGAAUUGAUCGGUUGAGUUAGAACCGAAUGCCCAUGCCUAUCUAUAUAUAACACUUCGGUUCAUGUGUCUCCAUCCACACCUCACGACCCGCGCAUGGUCGGUUGUGGCUGUUGCCACUGCGUGUCUCUGACAUGGACUUGCUCCGGUCCGGCUCCACCAUGCUGGAUGUCGUGAAGGCUGUAGUCCAGGAGUUGGGGACGGGCCCCUAUUUCAACUUCAGCAUGGCUCUCCAUUAGCAAUAUAUUCGAAGUGCCAAGGUUGCAAAAGCAAUAUCCGUGGCAAUGAUGUGUUUCUUGUGAUUUGAGAUGCGUAUUUUCUGCCUUAUUGCUUUUUCCUAUGUAUGUGAUUGAUUGGGUUAGAUCUAUAUAGUGUCUUGCUAUUGCUAUAGAGAAGUUAUAAUAGUUCUUCACCAUGAUUUGUAUUUGACCAUAACAAUCGUAAGACAGCUAUGAAUGCUUGACAUUUUGUCCUGAACAAAUGCGGCUAUUAGUUUGUAUUUCAUCUAAGUGCAGUGCAACCAAUUGAAGUUAUUUUGGAAGAACAUGCAUCUGAUUAUCUUUGGUUUUUCUAUAGUCUGUAGUAGAGUUAAGAUUGUACAUUUUGUGAACCAUUCUGUUUUAGCCUCUCUUUCUAUACAUUCUAUAAG
Molecule: long non-coding RNA, 3450 nt
Filed under: Triticum aestivum (bread wheat)
Lineage: Eukaryota; Viridiplantae; Streptophyta; Magnoliopsida; Poales; Poaceae
Description: long non-coding RNA (TAES_LNC008969)
Source: RNAcentral